RNAcentral lists this ribosomal RNA (469 nucleotides) under Streptococcus mutans. RNAcentral's name for it is "bacterial SSU rRNA". It matches the Rfam family "Bacterial small subunit ribosomal RNA", at positions 28 to 471 of the family's 1533-position model. The record is from RNAcentral. Lineage: Bacteria; Bacillati; Bacillota; Bacilli; Lactobacillales; Streptococcaceae.
GACGAACGCUGGCGGCGUGCCUAAUACAUGCAAGUGGGACGCAAGGGAACACACUGUGCUUGCACACCGUGUUUUCUUGAGUCGCGAACGGGUGAGUAACGCGUAGGUAACCUGCCUAUUAGCGGGGGAUAACUAUUGGAAACGAUAGCUAAUACCGCAUAAUAUUAAUUAUUGCGUGAUAAUUGAUUGAAAGAUGCAAGCGCAUCACUAGUAGAUGGACCUGCGUUGUAUUAGCUAGUUGGUAAGGUAAGAGCUUACCAAGGCGACGAUACAUAGCCGACCUGAGAGGGUGAUCGGCCACACUGGGACUGAGACACGGCCCAGACUCCUACGGGAGGCAGCAGUAGGGAAUCUUCGGCAAUGGACGAAAGUCUGACCGAGCAACGCCGCGUGAGUGAAGAAGGUUUUCGGAUCGUAAAGCUCUGUUGUAAGUCAAGAACGUGUGUGAGAGUGGAAAGUUCACACAGUG